This 490-nucleotide ribosomal RNA is filed under the name uncultured bacterium. RNAcentral describes it as "partial 16S ribosomal RNA". It matches the Rfam family "Bacterial small subunit ribosomal RNA", at positions 32 to 507 of the family's 1533-position model. The record is from RNAcentral.
AACGCUGGCGGCGUGCUUAACCCAUGCAAGUCGAACGGUGCAGCGCCUUCCUUUUUGGUGGGUGUGGAUGAGUGGCGAACGGGUGAGUAACACGUGAGUAACCUGCCCCCUUCUUCUGGAUAACCGCAUGAAAGUGUGGCUAAUACGGGAUAUUCUGGGUCUGUCGCAUGAUGGGUCUGGGAAAGAUAUUGUUUCGGUGGGGGAUGGGCUCGCGGCCUAUCAGCUUGUUGGUGGGGUGAUGGCCUACCAAGGCGGUGACGGGUAGCCGGCCUGAGAGGGUGGACGGUCACACUGGGACUGAGACACGGCCCAGACUCCUACGGGAGGCAGCAGUGGGGAAUAUUGCACAAUGGGCGCAAGCCUGAUGCAGCGACGCCGCGUGAGGGAUGGAGGCCUUCGGGUUGUGAACCUCUUUCGCCAGUGAAGCAGGCCUGCCUCGUUUGUGGGUGGGUUGACGGUAGCUGGAUAAGAAGCGCCGGCUAACUACGUG